CAAACUCCUACGGGAGGCAGCAGUAGGGAAUCUUCCACAAUGGACGCAAGUCUGAUGGAGCAACGCCACGUGAGUGAAGAAGGCUUUCGGGUCGUAAAACUCUGUUGUUGGAGAAGAAUGGUCGGCAGAGUAACUGUUGUCGGCGUGACGGUAUCCAACCAGAAAGCCACGGCUAACUACGUGCCAGCAGCCGCGGUAAUACGUAGGUGGCAAGCGUUAUCCGGAUUUAUUGGGCGUAAAGCGAGCGCAGGCGGUUUUUUAAGUCUGAUGUGAAAGCCCUCGGCUUAACCGAGGAAGCGCAUCGGAAACUGGGAAACUUGAGUGCAGAAGAGGACAGUGGAACUCCAUGUGUAGCGGUGAAAUGCGUAGAUAUAUGGAAGAACACCAGUGGCGAAGGCGGCUGUCUGGUCUGUAACUGACGCUGAGGCUCGAAAGCAUGGGUAGCGAACAGGAUUAGAUACCCUGGUAGUCCAUGCCGUAAACGAUGAGUGCUAGGUGUUGGAGGGUUUCCGCCCUUCAGUGCCGCAGCUAACGCAUUAAGCAUUCCGCCUGGGGAGUACGACCGCAAGGUUGAAACUCAAAGGAAUUGACGGGGGCCCGCACAAGCGGUGGAGCAUGUGGUUUAAUUCGAAGCAACGCGAAGAACCUUACCAGGUCUUGACAUCUUUUGAUCACCUGAGAGAUCAGGUUUCCCCUUCGGGGGCAAAAUGACAGGUGGUGCAGGGUUGUCGUCAGCUCGUGUCUUGAGAUGUUGGGUUAAGUCCCGCAACGAGCGCAACCCUUAUGACUAGUUGCCAGCAUUUAGUUGGGCACUCUAGUAAGACUGCCGGUGACAAACCGGAGGAAGGUGGGGAUGACGUCAAAUCAUCAUGCCCCUUAUGACCUGGGCUACACACGUGCUACAAUGGAUGGUACAACGAGUUGCGAGACCGCGAGGUCAAGCUAAUCUCUUAAAGCCAUUCUCAGUUCGGACUGUAGGCUGCAACUCGCCUACACGAAGUGGGAAUCGCUAGUAAUCGCGGAUCAGCACGCCGCGGUGAAUACGUUCCCGGGCCUUGUACACACCGCCCGUCACACCA
RNAcentral lists this ribosomal RNA (1079 nucleotides) under Lacticaseibacillus paracasei subsp. tolerans. RNAcentral's name for it is "bacterial SSU rRNA". It matches the Rfam family "Bacterial small subunit ribosomal RNA", at positions 332 to 1404 of the family's 1533-position model. Lineage: Bacteria; Bacillati; Bacillota; Bacilli; Lactobacillales; Lactobacillaceae. The record is from RNAcentral.